RNAcentral lists this ribosomal RNA (365 nucleotides) under Escherichia coli. RNAcentral's name for it is "partial 23S ribosomal RNA". It matches the Rfam family "Bacterial large subunit ribosomal RNA", at positions 1 to 393 of the family's 2925-position model. Lineage: Bacteria; Pseudomonadati; Pseudomonadota; Gammaproteobacteria; Enterobacterales; Enterobacteriaceae. The record is from RNAcentral.
GGGUUGUGAGGUUAAGCGACUAAGCGUACACGGUGGAUGCCCUGGCAGUCAGAGGCGAUGAAGGACGUGCUAAUCUGCGAUAAGCGUCGGUAAGGUGAUAUGAACCGUUAUAACCGGCGAUUUCCGAAUGGGGAAACCCAGUGUGUUUCGACACACUAUCAUUAACUGAAUCCAUAGGUUAAUGAGGCGAACCGGGGGAACUGAAACAUCUAAGUACCCCGAGGAAAAGAAAUCAACCGAGAUUCCCCCAGUAGCGGCGAGCGAACGGGGAGGAGCCCAGAGUCUGAAUCAGUGUGUGUGUUAGUGGAAGCGUCUGGAAAGGCGCGCGAUACAGGGUGACAGCCCCGUACACAAAAAUGCACAUA